GUAGGUGGCAAGCGUUGUCCGGAAUUAUUGGGCGUAAAGCGCGCGCAGGCGGUCCUUUAAGUCUGAUGUGAAACGCCCACGGCUCAACCGUGGAGGGUCAUUGGAAACUGGGGGACUUGAGUACAGAAGAGGAAAGCGGAAUUCCAAGUGUAGCGGUGAAAUGCGUAGAGAUUUGGAGGAACACCAGUGGCGAAGGCGGCUUUCUGGUCUGUAACUGACGCUGAGGCGCGAAAGCGUGGGGAGCAAACAGGAUUAGAUACCCUGGUAGUCCACGCCGUAAACGAUGAGUGCUAAGUGUUAGGGGGUUUCCCGCCCCCUUAGUGCUGCAGCUAACGCAUUAAGCACUCCGCCUGGGGAGUACGGCCGCAAGGCUG
Molecule: ribosomal RNA, 374 nt
Filed under: uncultured organism
Description: partial 16S ribosomal RNA
Rfam family: Bacterial small subunit ribosomal RNA
Source: RNAcentral